UUUCCGGUUGUCUAAUGGCUUUGGACGCUCGUAUGGAAUACAAGAGAUCCAGGUUCAAGUCCUGGCCGAGAUA
Molecule: transfer RNA, 73 nt
Filed under: Trachymyrmex cornetzi
Lineage: Eukaryota; Metazoa; Arthropoda; Insecta; Hymenoptera; Formicidae
Rfam family: tRNA
About the family: Transfer RNA (tRNA) molecules are approximately 80 nucleotides in length. Their secondary structure includes four short double-helical elements and three loops (D, anti-codon, and T loops). Further hydrogen bonds mediate the characteristic L-shaped molecular structure. tRNAs have two regions of fundamental functional importance: the anti-codon, which is responsible for specific mRNA codon recognition, and the 3' end, to which the tRNAs corresponding amino acid is attached (by aminoacyl-tRNA synthetases). tRNAs cope with the degeneracy of the genetic code in two manners: having more than one tRNA (with a specific anti-codon) for a particular amino acid; and 'wobble' base-pairing, i.e. permitting non-standard base-pairing at the 3rd anti-codon position.
Source: Rfam by way of RNAcentral